Molecule: ribosomal RNA, 333 nt
Filed under: Hippodamia variegata
Lineage: Eukaryota; Metazoa; Arthropoda; Insecta; Coleoptera; Coccinellidae
Description: partial 12S ribosomal RNA
Source: RNAcentral
UUAGAUACCCUAUUAUUAAAAAUGUAAAUUAUAAAGCUAAGUGAAUAAUAGUUAAGUUCUUUAAAGCUAAAUGAUUUGGCGGUAUUUUAAACUUUUCAGAGGAACCUGUUCUAUAAAUGAUAAUCCACGAUUAAAGUUACUUUGAUUAGAAAUUUUUAUAUCGUUGUUGUUAAAUAUUUUAUAAGAAAUAAAUAUUUAAGAUUUCUUAAUAAAGAAAAAAAUCAAAUCAAGGUGAAGUUUAUAUUGAAGAAGAAAUGGGUUACAAUAAAUUAUAUUUAUGGAUUAAAAUUUGUAAAGUUUUAUGAAAUUGGAUUUGAAAGUAAUUAAUUAAAA